This 3433-nucleotide long non-coding RNA is filed under the name Pan troglodytes (chimpanzee). RNAcentral describes it as "lincRNA". Lineage: Eukaryota; Metazoa; Chordata; Mammalia; Primates; Hominidae. The record is from RNAcentral.
GAAAAAGCCCGCGGCGUCUUCUCUGUCCCCUGCGCUCGGCUCCCUGCUCGGUCGGGCUGGAACCUGUACUGGCAGCCGGAGGUGUAGGUAGGAACCGGAAUACCUCGGAAGCCGGGAAAUGAUGGAGUUUCAUUCUUGUUGCCCAGGCUGGAGUGCAAUGGCGCGAUCUCAGCUCACCACAACCUCUGCCUCCCACAUUCAAGCGAUUCUCCUGCCUCAGCCUCCCGAGUAGCUGGGAUUAAAGUGUGGUGUGUUGAAUAUUAUAGUUUCAAAAUCCUUCAUGUGUGUUAGGACUCAAUGAUCUUUGAGGAUGUGGCUGUGAACUUUACCCAGGAGGAGUGGGCUUUGCUGGAUCCGUCCCAGAAGAAACUCUACAGAGAUGUGAUGUGGGAAAUCAUCAGGAACCUGAUGUCUGUAGGAAUAAAAUGGGAAGACCGGAACAUUGAAGAUCAGUACAAAAAUUCCAGGAGAAAUCCAAGAAAUCAUAUGGCAGAGAGACUCUGUGAAUGUAAAGAUGGUCAAUGUGGAGAAACUUUCAGCCUGAUUCCAGAUGGUAUAAUGAACAAGAACACUCUUCCUGGGGUAAAACCAUGUGAAAGCAGUGUGUGUGGAGAAGGCAACGUGGAUCAUUCAUCUCUGAAUUGCUACAUCAGAGCUGACACUGGACACAAACCGUAUGAGUGUCAGGAACAUGGAGAGAAGCCACAUAAAUGUAAGCAGUGUGUAAAAACCUUCAGCUGCCUCCACUCCUUCCAAACACAUGAAAAGCCUCACACUGGAGAGAAACCCUAUGAUUGUAAGGAAUGGGAAAAAACCUUCGAUUCUCCCCAAACCGUUCGAAGAUACAGGGUAGCACAUAGUGGAGAUGGACCUUAUAAAUGUUGAAGAAUUUGUGACCGUGGAUAAGUUCGUUUCCUGUUAUGUGAACUUGGCAGAUUAAUGCUAAAUCCUGUGGGACAGCAUUUAGCAACACCUAAAAAACAUGAUAAAGAAAUACCUGAGACUGGGUAAUUUAUAAAGAAAAGAGGUUGAAUUGGCCCAUGAUUCUGCAGACUGCACAGGAAGCAUGGUACUGGAAGGAUGGCAUCUGCUCAGCUUCUAGGGAGGCCUCAGGAAACUGACAAUCAUGGUGGAAGGCAAAGGGGGAGCAGCAGUUCACAUGGCCAGAGAAGGAGCAAGAGAGAACAGGGCAAGGUGCCACAGACUUUUAAAUGACCGGUUCUCACAAGAACUUACUAUCACAAGACCAGCACCACAGGGAUAGUGCUAAACCAUUCAUGAAGGACCACCAUCCAAUCACCUCCCACAAGGCCCCACCUUCAAUAUUGGGAAUUACAAUUCGACAUGAGAUUUGGGUGGAGAUUCAAAUCCAAACCAUGUCCUUUUGCUUUUUCUGUUUUGUUUGUGGAGUAGAUUUUUCUCCAUCCCUUUACUUCGAGCCUAAGGGUGUCAUUGCAUGUGAGAUGGGUCUCUUGAAGACAGCAUACCAUUGGAUCUUGCUUUUUUAUCCAGGUUGCCACUGUGCCUUUUAAUUGGGGCAUUUAGCCUGCUUACAUUCAAGGACUCAGUGACCUUUGAGGAUGUGGCUGUGAACUUCACCCAGGAGGAGUGGGCUUUGCUGGGUCCUUCCCAGAAGAACCUCUACAGAGAUGUGAUGUGGGAAACCUUCAGGAACCUGAUGUCUGUAGAAGUCAUAUGGUAGAGAGAGUCUGAAGGUAAGGAAGAUGGUCAAUGUGAAGAGAUCUUCAGCCUUGUUCCAAAUGGUAUAGUGAAGAUGACUUUUACUGGAGUCAAAUCAUGUGAAAGCAGUGUGUGUGAAGAAGGCAAUAUGGAUCAUUCAUCUCUUAAUUGCUGCAUCAGAGCUGACACUGGACACAAAUCAGAUGAGUGUCAGGAACAUAGAAGCCACAUAAGCAGUGUGUGAAAAAAAUCAGAUGAGUGUCAGGAACAUAGAAGCCACAUAAGCAGUGUGUGAAAACCUUCAGCUAUUGCCACUCCUUUCAAACACAUGAAAGGCCUCACACUGGAAAGAAACUCCAUGUAAGAAAUGUGGAAAAACCUUCAUUUCUGUUCAAACCUUUUGAAGAUACAUGGUAAUGCACAGUGAAGAUGAACCUUAUAAAUGUAAGUUUUGUGGGAAGGCCUUUGAUAAUCUACAUUUAUAUCUUACACAUGAAAGAACUCACACUGGAGAGAAACCCUAUGAAUGUAAUAAAUGUGGGAAAGCCUUCAGUUGUUCCAGUUCCAUUCGAAAACAUGCAAGAAUUCACACCGGAGAGAAACCCUAUAUAUGUAAACAAUGUGGCAAAGCCUUUAGAUAUUCCAGUUCUAUUUGAAAUCAUGAAAACACUCACACUGGUGAAAAACCCUGUGAAUGUAAGCAAUGUGGGAAAGCCUUUAGUUAUUCCAGUUACUUUCGAAUACAUGAAAGAAUUCACACUGGAGAGCAGGUGUAUAAAUGUAAGGAAUGUGGAAAAACAUUCACUUAUCCCAGUGCCUUUCAUAAACAUAAAAGUACCCACACUUCACAGAAACUUUAUGAAUGUAAGGAAUGUGGGAAAGCAUUUGAUUGUUUUAGUUCCUUUCAUAGUCAUGAAGGGGUUCACACUGGAGAGAAACCCUAUGAAUGCAGAACGUGGAAAAGCCUUCAGUAGUUCUAAGUACUUAAAAAUACAUGGAAGAACUCACACUGGAGAGAAGUCCUAUGCAGUAAAGAAUGAGGGAAAGUAUUUUAUUGUCUCAGUCCCCUUAAAAACAUGAAAGGACUCACAUCAGAGAAAAGUUGUAUGAAUGUAAAAAAUGUGAUAAAGGCUUCCAUUUGUCCAGUACUGUUAGAAACCAUGAAAGAAGUCACAUUUAAGAAAAACACAGUGAUGUUAGGAAUAUGGGGAAGCUUUCCUUUCUCUUCCAGUCUUUUGAAGGCACAGGGUAUGACACACUGGUGACCUUAUAACUGUAAGGAGUGUGGAUAAGUAUUUAUUAGUCCUUGUGUGUUUUAGAUACAUGAAAGAAUUUACUCUAGAAGGAAACUCUAUGAAUGUAAAGAAUGUGGUAAAACCUGUGUAGUUUCAGUUUCUCUUGAAUAAAGUCAUUUCCUGGUAUUCUCAGGGGAUUGGUUCCAGCACCCCUUGAGAAUAUAUAAUUUUGCUCAAGUGCUUUAUAGAAAAGUGUAUUUGCCUAUAACUAGGCAAUCCUGUAUACUUUAAAUCAUCUCUAGAUUACUUAUAAUACCUAAUGCAUUGUAAAUGCUAUGAAGACAACUGUUUUAUUGUAUUUAGGGAAGUAUGACAAGAAAAAACAUCUGUACAUAUUCAGUACAGACACAACCACCAUACGGCUACCUACCUAGUACACAUCAUCUACAAUAUAACAUUUUCUUUUUAAAAAACAGUUAUGGAUUGGUUUCAUUAAAUGACCUGCAAGCGUGUGUUAA